GAUGAACGCUAGCGACAGGCUUAACACAUGCAAGUCGAGGGGCAGCAGGGCUUUCGGGCCGCUGGCGACCGGCGCACGGGUGAGUAACACGUAUGCAACCUACCUUUAACACGGGGAUAGCCCGGAGAAAUCCGGAUUAAUACCCGAUGACACAGGGAUGCCGCAUGGCAAUAUUUGUUAAAGAUUCAUUGGUUAAAGAUGGGCAUGCGUUGGAUUAGCUAGUUGGUAGGGGUAACGGCCCACCAAGGCAACGAUCCAUAGGGGUUCUGAGAGGAAGGUCCCCCACACUGGUACUGAGACACGGACCAGACUCCUACGGGAGGCAGCAGUGAGGAAUAUUGGUCAAUGGGCGGGAGCCUGAACCAGCCAAGUCGCGUGAAGGAUGACGGUAUUAUGUAUUGUAAACUUCUUUUAUGGGGGAAUAAAAAAGAGGACGUGUCCUUUCUUGUAUGUACCCCAUGAAUAAGCAUCGGCUAACUCCGUGCCAGCAGCCGCGGUAAUACGGAGGAUGCGAGCGUUAUCCGGAUUUAUUGGGUUUAAAGGGUGCGUAGGUGGGAAGAUCAGUCAGCGGUGAAAGUUUGAAGCUUAACUUUAAAAUUGCCGUUGAAACUGUCUUCCUUGAGUGUGAACGAGGUAGGCGGAAUUCGUAGUGUAGCGGUGAAAUGCAUAGAUAUUACGAAGAACCCCGAUAGCGCAGGCAGCUUACCAGGCCACAACUGACACUGAUGCACGAAAGUGUGGGUAUCAAACAGGAUUAGAUACCCUGGUAGUCCACACAGUAAACGAUGAUAACUAACUGUUUGCGAUAUACAGUAAGCGGUACAGCGAAAGCGUUAAGUUAUCCACCUGGGGAGUACGCCGGCAACGGUGAAACUCAAAGGAAUUGACGGGGGCCCGCACAAGCGGAGGAACAUGUGGUUUAAUUCGAUGAUACGCGAGGAACCUUACCCGGGCUCGAACGGCUAAUGAAUGUUUGUGAAAGCAGGCAGUCUUCGGACAUUAGUCGAGGUGCUGCAUGGUUGUCGUCAGCUCGUGCCGUGAGGUGUCGGCUUAAGUGCCAUAACGAGCGCAACCCUUAUCUUUAGUUACCAUCAGGUCAAGCUGGGGACUCUGGAGAGACUGCCACCGUAAGGUGUGAGGAAGGUGGGGAUGACGUCAAAUCAGCACGGCCCUUACGUCCGGGGCGACACACGUGUUACAAUGGGUGGGACAGCAGGUUGCUACCUGGUGACAGGAUGCUAAUCCAUGAAACCCACUCCCAGUUCGGAUCGAAGUCUGCAACCCGACUUCGUGAAGCUGGAUUCGCUAGUAAUCGCGCAUCAGCCAUGGCGCGGUGAAUACGUUCCCGGGCCUUGUACACACCGCCCGUCAAGCCAUGGAAGCUGGUGGUACCUGAAGUCCGUAACCGCAAGGAUCGGCCUAGGGUAAAACUGGUAACUGGGGCU
This 1445-nucleotide ribosomal RNA is filed under the name uncultured Bacteroidota bacterium. Its description in RNAcentral is "bacterial SSU rRNA". It matches the Rfam family "Bacterial small subunit ribosomal RNA". Lineage: Bacteria; Pseudomonadati; Bacteroidota. The record is from RNAcentral.